CUAGAGCUGGGGGACUCAAGCCUCAUGUUAUAGUAUGAUCACGUGAUGAAGUAGAAUCAGAAUAUAAGGUUAACACAAUAGGCUAUGGAUGGGAAUACAAAGCAAAUCUCAGAAUGCAAGCAGAGAGAUCACUAUUGAAGUUUUUGGCUAUACACAACCACAGGUGAUAGACUUAUUAGAAAAUUCUUGAAGAGCAACUACCCAUUUCUCACACAGAGAACAUCAGAAUCUUGAUUUCCACCUUCAGGUAGAGGUCAUCCUUUCCAGGUGUAUGUUUAUUUCUACAGAUAAUUAUUUAGAUAGGUGUGCUAACUUGAGACUUCAUAAAGAGAAUGCUUUGGUGAGAAUGACUGAAUCCAUCUCUAUGGUGGGAACAGUGUACAGUUGAUUCCAUAUACACAGAGUAAACCAUAUGGGGUGUUUCCAAAUGUUCUCAUGUAGGUCUCUACUUCCUCUUCACUAACAAUCUGGUGACAUUGUUUACCCAGUAUAAGCAAGAAUAUCAUCUCUCUUUGGUUCUGCCCAAGUCUCCACCCUCUUGUGGGCGUUCCAAUCCACUCUUGCCUUGUGCUCUCUACCACAGGGUGCUGUUCUUCAGUUCUCUUGGUACUAAUCUCCAAAGCUUCUAGAGUUGGAGGGAGAUGGCUCCUGAGUCUGCCAGAUGCUGCAGCUCUCUGCUUCUUUAACCAGACUGCACUGAGGUUGUGUUCUCUGGGGGCAGAUAAACUUUUUGGGUAGGAACGCCAUUUUCUCUGAGUUUAGAGGUAUUACAACGGAGGCAAUCAAUGUUUUUUAUGGUAGAAUCAUUCAGUUUCUAAUGCUGUUCAGUUGUUGGUACCAUGCCAUUCCCUGUGCAACACUAUUAAAUUUCCACCUUAUACCCUCAACAGCUAAGGCAAUGACUGCUGUAGCUCAAUUCUGUGUUGCAUUAUAGCUUCAAUAAACAAUCUUUCCUAAGGAAUCCCCUUUCUUUUCUUUCCUUCCUCCCUUCUUUUCCUUUUCUUCCUUCCUUUAAUCCUCACUGAACUUUCAGUACAUGCCAAACCCUGUGUUAAACAUUUGGUGUACAAAGAUGAAAGAACUAUGCUCAUUGCAUCCCACUCCAACCUCAAAGUCUAGUAGGAAGAUAGUCAAGGAAACAAGUAAACAAAAAGCUAGAAAAAAAUGCUGAAUGAGAGGUCUAAAUGAACUAAUUAAUAACGUUGAGAAAUCAGGGACUCUUCAUGGGGGAAGGUGUUACAUGAACUGAAUCUUGAAGAGAGACUGUACUUUUCAGUACAUGGAAAGUUUCAGAUUGAAUAAGAAUGAUAGAGGAAUCUCUGUAUAUGACAUGCUAGCCACUGCUGCUUUUCUGUCCAGGCCAUCCUAAAUCAUAGUUAUAGCACAUGACUAUACAUUGUGUGUAGUGGUCACACCUACUUCAGGUCAGAAAUUCUCUAAAUAUUCACGUUACAUUGUCUAACCUCCAGGGUAAUCAUUCUCAAUAUUUUCAUCUCUUCUGGACAUGAUAGUUUGUAUCCUCCCUUACCCCCCUAACUGUAUUCGUAUACACACAUUCUCAUCAUGCUCUCAGUGACCAUGUUCAUGUUUAUCACCAGCCUUAGUCUGAGAAUGUCUGUGAAACCAAGAGAAGAAGACUUCUCUUCCUCAGCCCACAGGGAAAAACAAAAAAACAAAACAAAAAAAGGCCUUCUUCAGGAGUCUCCAGAUAUAUAUUGAUGGAUCCUACAGGGGGGUCCACAUAAUGACUCGUCUCUGGCCUGAUGUCCCAGCAUCUGCUACACGUUUCCUUCAACUCCAGGAAGCUGCACAUCAAGAAGGCAUCAUCAUUAUGAAAAAUAAAACCACAGAAGAAGCUAAAUUUGCAAAGAGAAAUUCCAUUAGCAUCUGGAGGGCCGUUUCUUUGUUUGAAGGGACAGCGAAACACGGUUAUGAAGAUUCAGAGCAUGGCAUCCUCCUCCCGAUUCUUGGGAUUGUAAAGGCAGAUCUGUAACCGCCAGGAAGUCCCUGUGCUGCCUAUUAUAAACCGUAAUCAGUUGGAACUGAUUGCUCAACUCUGGUCAUUUUCAUCUACAAACAAAUUCACAAGUUUUCCAGACAAAUAUGGAUGGGCUGGUAAAUUUAAAUUUCAAAUGAAAAAAUAUCUUCCUGUAAUGAGUUCACAUACCUUUUAUUUAGACUUCCAAAUGCCAGCAUAAUGUGAUUAGUUUUGAUGUUGUUUCUUUCCACCACUUAUGAGAAAUCACAUCAUCAAUCAUAUUAUCAAAAUUAGAUGUGGAGAAGACCUAGCAUGUCACCAGGACCCUCCCCUGUGCCUGUAUAGACUUGUUUUAGCCAGUGUCUGUACUUUUUAAUAUUUUCUUCAAUCUAAUAUUAAACUUCCCUUGUGAUCAAGCAUCUACCAUUUCCAUUGUAAUGACAUAAAAAUAAAA
Molecule: long non-coding RNA, 2432 nt
Organism: Canis lupus familiaris (dog)
Lineage: Eukaryota; Metazoa; Chordata; Mammalia; Carnivora; Canidae
Exons: 3
Source: RefSeq, a predicted model, not a curated record